Long non-coding RNA from Rosa chinensis, 1516 nucleotides. RefSeq lists it as uncharacterized. The record is from RefSeq and is a predicted model, not a curated record. Lineage: Eukaryota; Viridiplantae; Streptophyta; Magnoliopsida; Rosales; Rosaceae. The transcript has 5 exons.
GUCCCAUGUCCUUAAGCCUGAUAUUUUUUUCAUUUGGUCUAAAACCCUCAAGUCUCGAGUAGAGUUUCUCUUUGGGUCACCCACUCACCCCUUCUCCAUCACUCUUCCGCUCUAGCUGUUUCUUUCCCUCAUCAGAUCUAUGAACGAGGAACUAGUGUAGCUUUUGGGUACUCGAAUCCAAAAACCCCAACUACAUUUUUUUCUCUCUUUACUCGCUAGAUCACCCGUUCGUCCAACCCUAGAAUCGUAAAAAACUAGAUUAGUUGCAGUAGCCAUGGCCAUCUCUGCCAUGGACCCAAAAGCCGUGAAAUCGGACUUGGUCUUCAUCCUCGACUACGGCUCCCAUACACCCACCUCAUCACUCGCCGCAUCCGAUCCCUCUCCGUCUUCUCCCUCACCAUCUCCUGCACCAACCCCCUCAAGGCCAUCACCGACCUCAACCCCAGUGUUGUCAUCCUCUCCGGCAGUUCCCAUUCCGUCCACACCGACGACUCCCCCAGCUUCCCAGCCGGGUUCACCGAGUGGACCGAGGCCCACGACUUCUUCGUCCGCGGAAUCUGCUAUGGCUUGCAACUGAUUGUACAGAAGCUUGGCGAGGUGGUUAGGGCUGGGAAGAAGCAAGACUAUGGCAAGAUGGAGAUUGUGGUGGAGAGCAAUUCGGGGAUUUUCCGGGACCAAGAGGGUUGGGGAUAGGCAGGUGGUGUGGAUGAGCCAUGGGGAUGAGGUGGCUAAGUUGCCCCAGAGGUUCUGGGUGAUGGAGCAGAGCUAGCAGGGAGUGGUGGCCGCCAUUGAAAGCCCAGAAAGGAGGUUCUAUGGGAUGAGCCAUGGGGAUGAGGUGGCUAAGUUGCCCCAAGGGUUCCGGGUGAUGGAGCAGAGCUAGCAGGGAGUGGUGGCCGCCAUUGAAAGCCCAGAAAGGAGGUUCUAUGGGCUGCAGUACCACCCUGAGAAGAACCGGCCAUAUUUCACAUUUCUAUCAACUCGAUUGUAAAACUGCAAGUAUGCUGCAUUAUCAAAAGAAGAGUGGGAAGAACAAUUCGCAAGUAUAAACUGCAAGUAUGCUGCAUUACUUGGAGAUUAUAGUUUUAUUCUGAAGCAUAAACAAUGCAGGUUGUUAAAGUGAAAUCAGCCAUCUCAAGGUCUGUUAGCAAGAAGAAAUAGGUGUCAAGUGCUGGGUAUGGUCACAAUCUGAACUGUUAAAAGGUGCAAUCAUCCAUCUUUGGGGCUUCUAUCUCAACCUGGUCGUCUUUUUUACAUUUCAGCAUAUGCAGUGAAAAAUUCUAUGCAAACUCUUAAGGCAAGUGAUUGGCAUCUUAAAGGAGCUAGGAGCAUUUAAUAUAUUCUACAGCCAAGCCACGGGAGGAGAAGAAAAAACAAAUGUCCAACCUCUAGAGUACAUUGUAAAUUAUUUUGCUAGUUAGCUUCAAUAGUAGAUGUAUUUUGAUGGCUGUAAUGACAUUGGAGUUUUCAGAAUGAAUGUGAACAUCAAAGAAUGGCAAGAGCAAACUUAUAUGUGUCA